GCCAAUGUGGCACAGUGGUUUGAGUGUUAGACUGAGACUCUGGAGAUCAGAGUUCAAUUCCCAACUUGGCCA
Molecule: non-coding RNA, 72 nt
Organism: Phrynosoma platyrhinos (Desert horned lizard)
Lineage: Eukaryota; Metazoa; Chordata; Lepidosauria; Squamata; Phrynosomatidae
Source: the annotation of a GenBank genome assembly